UUAAUAGUCAUGUGACUUUUUUUUCUGCCAGCCAUGUGCUCCGUAUCAUUUUACUCUGAAAUAACUAUGCGGAUUUCAGCUCAACCCUCCCUUUGCUUAUAAUGCAUGACAUACCCCGUGAGGGAGCCUGAGAACAGACUCCCUUGAAAAGCAAGGUUCUCAUAGUUGGCCUGUAACCAUGGAAGCAGAUGCCGUUUUCUUCUUACCCUGCUUACCUCUUUGCAGCCUCGAGCUGCUCCUUAUUGUUAAAAGGGGCUUAAUUCCAGAAAGGUGAACUUGAACUGCCUCGAGGUAAUUUCAGUGAUUUGUAAAAAUGGUAUUCUCAAGCACUGAAAUAUCCUUAAAAGCACAUAAAUUCAUGGUGGUUUAUGAAAGGCACAUGAAAUUACUAUGACUCGGCAAAGGGGAGGUCCAUAGCAGAAUAAAGAAGGUUAUUGUGACAGAUGAAACAUAAUUCACAAUGAGUACUCUUUUCAUCCAGCCUUAAGCAGCAGAGGAUUACUUUCAAGCUGAAUUUUAUGGCAGAACAUAUGAACUGAGUUGUUUUUUCUUUGUUUUUUUUUUUAACAUGCAAGGAUAGAGCAAAGACAGAAAAACUCUCUUCAAUUGCGUGGUGUUUAUUUUGUGUGUAUCUCUUUGGGGCUCUUAAUUUGUUUCAUCUAAAACAGAAGAUAUGCUGGCCAGCAGAGUCUGAUGCAACCGAGGGAGUAGAUUGGGAGGGUAGGAAAUAUGAAAUUUAAAGCAAUAAAAGUUGUGGUUUUCCUGUGUAUAUAAUGAAUGAUACAUGAGGAGUUAAAUAUAUUUCUACAUUUUUGGCAUACAUAUGAAAUAAAAAUGAUACUUUUUUCAACAAAUGCAUGAGCUGCAAAAGUAGGUAAAUUUUAUUUCAUAACAUACUUUUGUUUAGAUAACAAUUUGUAGUCUCAUAGUCUUUAUUAGAAGUAAUAUGUUAGAUUUUUGAUGCCAUUAGCUUUUAUAUGAG
RNAcentral lists this long non-coding RNA (982 nucleotides) under Heterocephalus glaber (naked mole-rat). Its description in RNAcentral is "lncRNA (ENSHGLG00100052129.1)". Lineage: Eukaryota; Metazoa; Chordata; Mammalia; Rodentia; Bathyergidae. The record is from RNAcentral.